UCCUCUUUACAGAGGCAGUUUGUUCCGAGUCCCCGACACUACUCGCUGGUAACAGAACAUGAGGGUUGCGCUCGUUGCGGGACUUAACCCAACAUUUCACAACACGAGCUGACGACAGCCAUGCACCACCUGUGCUUCACCCUCGAAGGCGACGCCUUUUGGGGCGCUUGCAGAAGCAUGUCAAGCCCUGGUAAGGUUCUUCGCGUUGCGUCGAAUUAAACCACAUGCUCCACCGCUUGUGCGGGCCCCCGUCAAUUCCUUUGAGUUUCAGCCUUGCGGCCGUACUCCCCAGGCGGGGCACUUAAUGUGUUAGCGCCGGCCCUCAAGGGGUCGCUCCCCCAAGGACCUAGUGCCCAUCGUUUACGGCAUGGACUAC
This 376-nucleotide unclassified non-coding RNA is filed under the name uncultured bacterium. RNAcentral's name for it is "contains 16S-23S intergenic spacer region". The record is from RNAcentral.